This 253-nucleotide ribosomal RNA is filed under the name uncultured bacterium. RNAcentral describes it as "partial 16S ribosomal RNA". It matches the Rfam family "Bacterial small subunit ribosomal RNA", at positions 524 to 776 of the family's 1533-position model. The record is from RNAcentral.
UACGGGGGGGGCAAGCGUUGUUCGGAAUUGCUGGGCGUAAAGGGCUCGUAGGCGGCCAACUAAGUCAUACGUGAAAUCCCCCGGCUUAACCGGGGAACUGCGUCUGAUACUGGAUGGCUUGAGUUCGGGAGAGGGAUGCGGAAUUCCAGGUGUAGCGGUGAAAUGCGUAGAUAUCUGGAGGAACACCGGUGGCGAAGGCGGCGACCUGGGUCGAGACUGACGCUGAGGCGCGAAAGCGUGGGGAGCAAACAGG